This 74-nucleotide transfer RNA is filed under the name Gammaproteobacteria bacterium. Its description in RNAcentral is "tRNA-Met". It matches the Rfam family "tRNA". Rfam says of the family: Transfer RNA (tRNA) molecules are approximately 80 nucleotides in length. Their secondary structure includes four short double-helical elements and three loops (D, anti-codon, and T loops). Lineage: Bacteria; Pseudomonadati; Pseudomonadota; Gammaproteobacteria. The record is from RNAcentral.
GGCGACAUAGCUUAAUGUAAAGCCCAUGGCUCAUAACCAUGAAGAUACAGGUGCAAGUCCUGUUGUCGCUUCCA